This 421-nucleotide ribosomal RNA is filed under the name uncultured bacterium. RNAcentral describes it as "partial 16S ribosomal RNA". It matches the Rfam family "Bacterial small subunit ribosomal RNA", at positions 360 to 773 of the family's 1533-position model. The record is from RNAcentral.
AAUAUUGGACAAUGGGGGCAACCCUGAUCCAGCCAUGCCGCGGGUGUGAAGAAGGUCUGCGGAUUGUAAAGCACUUUAAGUUGGGAGGAAGGGCUUUAGGUUAAUACCCUGAAGUUUUGACGUUACCAACAGAAUAAGCACCGGCAACCUCUGUGCCGGCAGCCGCGGUAAUACAGAGGGUGCAAGAGUUUAUCGGGAUUACUGGGCGUAAAGCGCGCGUAGGUGGUUCAGUAAGAUGGGUGUGAAAUCCCCGGGCUUAACCUGGGAACUGCUUUCAUAACUGCUGAGCUAGAGUACGGUAGAGAGUAGUGGAAUUUCCUGUGUAGCGGUGAAAUGCGUAGAUAUAGGAAGGAACACCAGUGGCGAAGGCGACUACCUGGACUGAUACUGACACUGAGGUGCGAAAGCGUGGGGAGCAAAC